Heterocephalus glaber (naked mole-rat) is the source of this 909-nucleotide long non-coding RNA. The record is from Ensembl. Lineage: Eukaryota; Metazoa; Chordata; Mammalia; Rodentia; Bathyergidae.
CCUGCCUACUUCCUGUUUGCCUCUUGGCGUUCCUCUCACCCACUUCCUCCCCUUUCACACCUUAACCAUGGAGUGGAGGACAAAGCUGGGUAAUGUCUGUCUCCAUCUAUUGUUCCUCCUUCCUGAGUUACCCCCUGCUACCUAACAGAUGCCUGUUUGUCUUUGGAAACUUUCUCAUAAGCUUCAGCUUUCUGUGGAGACUUCAGUCCAUCUUGCAUUCUUCGUCCCACUCUCAUAAAGUUAAUCAUUUACUUGGAGUUGCCUCUGCAUCUGGUACAUGCAUUCAUUAUUGUCUUUCUUCCCAUCUGUUACUAUUUGCUUGUACAUCUGAUAAGUAGCAUCCACUCAACACUAUGUCAGACAUUGUUCUAAGCAUGUAUAUUAACUCAUUUGAUUUCCGUAACUCUAGGAGGUAGAUACUGUUAUUGUCCCUCUUCACCCCUUUAUCUUUACAACUGUUAAUAUUGUCUUCACAAUAUCUACCUGCUUCACAACAAUCCUCUUAUGGUAUUAGUCUUAUUAGUAUCCCUAUUUUACAGAUGAGAAAACUGAGACAGAGUGGUUAAAUAACUUGCCCACUACAAUAGCUAGAAAGUAGCUGAGCAGAGAUUCAAACCCAGACAGCCUGGCUCCGGAGCUUGGCUCUUCGUCACACAGUGUACUUUCUGCAAAUACAAUAGGGACUCUCAGGAGACAGCAAGGAUAUGUUCUGCUUGGAGAAGAGUGAGCCUCAUGCCAGUCACAAAAGACUGCAUUGACCAAAGGCAUUGAAGCUCAAGUUGAGAACACAGAAUGACAAAGCCAUGGGUGAAGACCUUUGUUCUGCCUGACAAAAGAGAAGUGUAAAAGCCGCUGAGGCUUGAGUGUCACUGAUGAGUGGCUGCACCAUGUGUAGUUUGGGAAGAGGUG